GAUCCUGCUCAGAUUGAACGCUGGCGGCAGGCCUAACACAUGCAAGUCGAACGGUAACAGGAAGCAGCUUGCUGCUUUGCUGACGAGUGGCGGACGGGUGAGUAAUGUCUGGGAAACUGCCUGAUGGAGGGGGAUAACUACUGGAAACGGUAGCUAAUACCGCAUAACGUCGCAAGACCAAAGAGGGGGGACCUUCGGGCCGUCUUGCCAUCGGAUGUGCCCAGAUGGGAUUAGCUAGUAGGG
Molecule: ribosomal RNA, 243 nt
Filed under: uncultured bacterium
Lineage: Bacteria
Description: partial 16S ribosomal RNA
Rfam family: Bacterial small subunit ribosomal RNA
Source: RNAcentral